GUUUUGUCAUGUUUUCAAAUGUAAACCAAAUACACUUGCUCAGGUGAUUAAAACGACAACAAAUGAAGCAGAGAUCUUUCAAUAUAGAUAUGCCUUAAUACCCAAGGUAGAACCAAAAGAAAAAGUCACACACAGAUACACACACACACACACACACAGGAGAACAAAGGAAACACUAACGUGUGAACAGGAAAUGAAGCAACUCUGUACACUGCAAUUGUAUUCCAUCCCAAUCACACGCCACAACUUGUUCAGCCAUUCUCCGAUUGAUGGACAUCCCCACAAUUUACAGUUCUUUGCCAUCACAAAGAAAGCUACUCGAAAGAUGUUAGAACAUGGGAACCUUUAGAACCUUGUGAGUUUUCAAAGGUCUGGAUGGUACCUUGGAAUCCAGUGUUCCAGAAUCCAAAAGGUUAUUGAUUUAGUGUCCUACUAUUUCAAGGUUCUAUUUGCUGGUAUCUACAAGUAGAAGGAACACAGCUAUUUUGUUGUCUGAGAUAAAGGUAGUAAGAGAGGAAAGCCUGAGGCUUACUUCCUUGAAGAGACAAAUAUAGUACCCUAACUCUGGGAAAGUGAGCCAGAGCAUAAAUCACUACACUUGAAAUUCAUGUCCCUAGCCUAGGGAGAGGGAGGAAAAAUAUAGCAAGCAACCUCUUCUACCCAGAAUUGCAAAAGAACCAGACAAAAGCCCAUAGAUAAUAUUCAGCACCUAGCAGAAAAAACAAUACCAACACUGGUAACUGUAAAAGAGGAGGAAAAUGGUGAGUGAGACUCUCCUUUCUUAAUAAUGGAGAUCAAUGAACAAGUUUUAACCCACUGGAUGGAUGUGUUUAUUCAGUCAGAAGUUGAAGGGAGAUGUGAAGGAAAGGGAUGUGAGGAAAGCAGAAAUAUCUGAGGAAAGAUGGCUGUGUCUCUCCUUCCUCAAGGUUAGCUGACCUUAGAGCUUUGAAUUACAGAGAGAGAGAGAGAGAGAGAGAGAGAGAGAGAGAGAGAGAGAGAGAGAGAGAGAGAGAGAGAGA
Monodelphis domestica (gray short-tailed opossum) is the source of this 1019-nucleotide long non-coding RNA. RefSeq lists it as uncharacterized. The record is from RefSeq and is a predicted model, not a curated record. Lineage: Eukaryota; Metazoa; Chordata; Mammalia; Didelphimorphia; Didelphidae.